AGUGAACGCUGGCGGUAGGCCUAACACAUGCAAGUCGAACGGCAGCACAGUAAGAGCUUGCUCUUACGGGUGGCGAGUGGCGGACGGGUGAGGUAUACAUCGGAAUCUACUUUUUCGUGGGGGAUAACGUAGGGAAACUUACGCUAAUACCGCAUACGACCUACGGGUGAAAGCAGGGGAUCUUCGGACCUUGCGCGAUUGAAUGAGCCGAUGUCGGAUUAGCUAGUUGGCGGGGUAAAGGCCCACCAAGGCGCCGAUCCGUAGCUGGUCUGAGAGGAUGAUCGGCCACACUGGAACUGAGACACGGUCCAGACUCCUACGGGAGGCAGCAGUGGGGAAUAUUGGACAAUGGGCGCAAGCCUGAUCCAGCCAUACCGCGUGGGUGAAGAAGGCCUUCGGGUUGUAAAGCCCUUUUGUUGGGAAAGAAAAGCAGCAGGUUAAUACCCCGCUGUUCUGACGGUACCCAAAGAAUAAGCACCGGCUAACUUCGUG
This 492-nucleotide ribosomal RNA is filed under the name uncultured bacterium. RNAcentral's name for it is "partial 16S ribosomal RNA". It matches the Rfam family "Bacterial small subunit ribosomal RNA", at positions 29 to 507 of the family's 1533-position model. The record is from RNAcentral.